Molecule: long non-coding RNA, 2737 nt
Organism: Sinocyclocheilus grahami
Lineage: Eukaryota; Metazoa; Chordata; Actinopteri; Cypriniformes; Cyprinidae
Exons: 3
Source: RefSeq, a predicted model, not a curated record
UUUUUUUUGAACACCCAAAGCUCUCUGCCAGAUGCUUGCAGUCUCUGGUUUCAUUAUAAAAAGUCUCAACAUAAGGAGAGAAUCACCUCAAUGUACACCUUCAGCCAUGGCAAUGCUACUGGGAAUGACAGCUCUUCCACAAUGAGCUUGAUAAUACUCAAAGAAAGCUAUUGUUUUCUAGGCUUCAGACAAGGCGUUCUAUUACAUGAUGCAUUGUGUCAGGAUGCGUUGAAAUGGGGCAUACCGCUUUAGGGUUUGCUUAGGCACCGUGCCACGUUCUCAGUCUGCAUCUUAAAAAGCAGUGCACGCUAUCAAUGUUAUUCAUUCAUUCUCCCAUCCUCUUGAAAAGCUUUUAAGGAGAAGGAAGCCAGUUUGGAAGACAGCCUGCCCGCACAAUACUUGGAGGAUUCCAGCUCGUCUUUGAAGGAAGGGUUCAGGGGCCGGCGUGGAGGGCUUCCGCUACAAUUUUCAACCACAGCAAUGCUCAACAACAGGUCAUUUCCCAGGACGAGGCACAGGAGGAAGCCGCUUUCCUAUAACAUAAACAGGAUUAUUUUAAAUCAAAUUUCACAGUUUUCUGAAGCAGAGCUGCUAGAAAGCGUGCUCAGUGCUUUGAAAGGCAGCUCUGCUUCAAAAGGGAGGGAGAACGAGAGCGAUAUUGAAAGAGUAAGAGGGAGAAAUGUACUUUUAUCUCCGCACAGGAAUAUGAUGCGGCCCACUUUGCAAAUUGACUUCGAAGGCCACAGUUCUGCAGUAUUUCUGCAGCCACCCGCCCCUCACUUUGAGAAAUAUACAGCUGAAGUCCGGUUCUGCAAGGAUGCUUCGUGAUUUACGACGUGGAGGGAUGGGUUCCCAUCUGGGACUCCAGCCACUGCCGGACAGGAGAUUUACAGGUACAAUGACACCACUGAUUACUUUUGGACGCCGAGGAGAAAUGGACACAGUUUGUUUUUCACCCCUUUCCAUCUUUAAGACCUGGACUGAGCAAGGGCCUAGAUUUGAGUCUCUGUCCCAAAGCAGCGGCUCCGGGGUUCGCUUAUGGACACACACAGUCUAACUUGGAUGAGCCCAAGUCGAUAAAUAACAUAUGCAGACUGAUGGGAAACCCAUACUGUAUCUCCAUCGACGAGAAAUGCAGAGACAUUGUCAUGACCCCAGAAACCACACUUGCUCUAGGAGCUGUUCGACUCCAUCCCUCUCGUUUUGACAAAUUUGUGAGUCUUCCUGUGCGUUCUGAGGAGGCCAAACCGUGGACAUCCAGAGUUCAGCCAAACCCAAUACAGUCUGAAAACAAAUGCUAGGGUUCGACUGACCUCACGCUGGACUAAAUGGCUUGACAGCUUUGUAAAUAUGGCUUCCGGCAAAUGAAUUCCCUUCUUUUUCAUUUACCAACAAGAGCCCCAAAUCCAAAAAAACGCAAAAUGAAAGAUAACGCUGCCUAACACUCUAACUCAGUCAAUAAAUCAGACAGAAACAAUAAGUGGAAACCAUAAAUGCGGACUGGAUUGAAGUAAUUUUUCUUCACGUGGAAAUUCUCAAGACAUUUUCAAUUUCAUGCACGGCACAGAAACCAUACUAAAGACAUUUGUGUAAUAUAAGCAGGGAGGAACUCUUGAUGAUCUCGACAGGUCUGUGUUCCAGCCAGCCCUAUGCAAACAAUGUGCCUGUCUGUCUGCUUGCCAUGCAUCCUCAAAGGGACAUGAAGUGUCUCAUAUACAUUUGACACAAAGAACGGGUUAUGUGACAUAAACCAGAUGGACUCUUCAGUAGGACCGACAUUGUGGUUUCUCAAAGACCGCAGACUUGCUUGAUCGCUCCACCCAGGGCCUGCUUGCUGGCAACUCACUUUCAUUCGUCUUCUCACUAGUUUGGGUGAAAAGCUUUUGGGAAGCUUUGUAAGAUUGAUGAUCCAUGGCCAAUUACUGGCUUAGCCCUUGAGUCUCACAAAGAAAGCAUGAGCUCGGACGUAAACACAUAGGACAAAGACGUAGGGGCUGGGAAUACCUGUGGCUCCACAAUAUAUGAGACUUCAAGACUAUCUCUUAAAAUAAUCUCAUUCCACAGCCUGAUCCUGGUAUUUCUGGAUGGUGCCAUCCCGAGUGAAGAAAGGAGGAGCCGGCGCAUCUGACGCCCCGUGGUUGACGAGCACCAGGGCGCCAGGCGAAAGCUUGUUAGACAAACUCUGACAACAAGACGCUGCCCUUGAAAAUCAAUUAUAAACACAGGAGCUUCCCUGCAUCUGUUUCUGCUCGCAGUUUUGUGGGUCUGUCUGUCUUGGAUUUCGGUUUUAUCUUCCCUCUCUUUGGGCAGCUUCCACAGCGGUUCAAACGGCCAUCCCUGAAGGAUUAGUGUGAGUUUUUAAACCCACAGGGACAGAGUGUGUAAAUCAUGAAUGGGUGAGCAAGAGUGAUGACAGGUCAUGGCACCCGCUGCUUAUUGGGAUGAGCAGUUUAUGGGAGCAGUUGGGGUGUUUUUCAUUGCAUCUGUUUUGCCCGGUCUCCUGUUUCCAACAAGUAAACAAUAAUAAAAAAUGACUUUGACUGGUUAUAAAGGGGUGCCGACAAGUUUGCACAGAGAAGUUAUGGGUUCCCAAUCUUGUAAGGGUCCUCUAAUGGCCCUUUAGGGCUCGGCUUACACUACCUGGGGCCCGGGUUACUCACAAUUGUUUUAGCAUGCCAUUAUGUGUUUUUAGCCGAUUCUUGAAGAUGGCUAAGGAUUGAGUUGGGCAGGUCUUUCC